GAUGAUAUCGUGGAGUCCAUCUCAAUCAGCUGUUGUUUGCAAGGCACGUUUUACUGAAAAAGACUACGUGCAGGAAACUAUUCAUGGGCGCAAACCCACCAUACAGAGACUUAAGUCUACUGCAAUUCCCAGCCUAUUUUCCUGGACCAAGCAAGAGACUGAAUCGUCCGCAAAAAGAAAAAUCAGGGCAGUUUCCUGUGAAAACAAAAGAACUAAACUUGAUGAAUAUUGUAGUAGAAAUCUAGAGGAAAGUUUUGAUUGUAAAGUUGGUUUUCCUGAAGAAGUCAUUCAUACUGCAGAAAGGAUAUAUGACUGCCACCACCAACUGCCGAGCUAAUGUUGAGCUUCACAGAUGGAAUUACGCAAACACCAUCAAUGCCUAUGUUUUCAGCAGAGAAUUUUGAAAUGAAGACACGUGACACAGCCAUGCAUUUUUAUACCGGUUUAGAGUUGUAUACUAAAUUUUUAUUUGUUUUGACCACACUUGGUCCAGCAGCACAUUGUUUGAGAUACAUAUAUUUUCAAAUUGAUAGGGUGUCAGUUGAAAAUCAGUUUUUUUAUGACUUUGAUGAAAUUGAGGCAUCAUACAACCAACUUUGAACUGUCUAGAUUCUAGAUUGAAUCUAGUGUUAAGAAUAUUGUGUAUACAUGGAUUGUUUUUAUGUCUAAACAGUGGUGUGAAACUAACACUUGGCCAUCUAGUGGUUUAGUCAGGUAUUUUUCACCAUCCAACUUCAAAUUAAAGUUUCCUACGACUUGGAUUAUUAUUGACAGCACAGAAUAUCCCGUGAUAAAACCUAAAGCUCCUAGAGCUCAGGCAACCUUUUCAUCAAAUAAAAACAGAAACACUGAAAAUUCCUGAAUGUUCGACACCUGGUGGUUUAGUCAACUAUGUCUCUAUGUCACAUAGAGCGAAUUAUUGGACUUGGCAAAACAUACAAAAUUCUAAUAAAUCCUAUGAAUGGAACUGAAACAAAACUUUCAUCUGAAAUAACAUUUAGUUGUUUUAUGUUGUGUAAUUUUAGAACUUGUAUUGUGCCAAAGGAUGCAUAAAUAAAAGUGACGCAAUGAA
Long non-coding RNA from Mytilus californianus (California mussel), 1072 nucleotides. RefSeq lists it as uncharacterized. NCBI's taxonomy places the organism in Eukaryota, Metazoa, Mollusca, Bivalvia, Mytilida, Mytilidae. The transcript is spliced from 2 exons. The record is from RefSeq and is a predicted model, not a curated record.